CAGUCGCCGCGGUAAUACGGAGGGUGCAAGCGUUAUCCGGAUUUAUUGGGUUUAAAGGGUCCGUAGGCGGAUCUGUAAGUCAGUGGUGAAAUCUCACAGCUUAACUGUGAAACUGCCAUUGAUACUGCAGGUCUUGAGUAAAUUUGAAGUGGCUGGAAUAAGUAGUGUAGCGGUGAAAUGCAUAGAUAUUACUUAGAACACCAAUUGCGAAGGCAGGUCACUAAGAUUUAACUGACGCUGAUGGACGAAAGCGUGGGGAGCGAACAGGAUUAGAUACCCCCGUAGUCCUUGUCUCUUAUAC
Molecule: ribosomal RNA, 301 nt
Filed under: uncultured bacterium
Lineage: Bacteria
Description: partial 16S ribosomal RNA
Rfam family: Bacterial small subunit ribosomal RNA
Source: RNAcentral